RNAcentral lists this ribosomal RNA (195 nucleotides) under Bacillus sp. BA3. RNAcentral's name for it is "partial 16S ribosomal RNA". It matches the Rfam family "Bacterial small subunit ribosomal RNA", at positions 1 to 192 of the family's 1533-position model. The record is from RNAcentral. Lineage: Bacteria; Bacillati; Bacillota; Bacilli; Caryophanales; Bacillaceae.
UCUUCGGAGAGUUUGAUCCUGGCUCAGGACGAACGCUGGCGGCGUGCCUAAUACAUGCAAGUCGAGCGAAUCGAUGGGAGCUUGCUCCCUGAGAUUAGCGGCGGACGGGUGAGUAACACGUGGGCAACCUGCCUAUAAGACUGGGAUAACUUCGGGAAACCGGAGCUAAUACCGGAUACGUUCUUUUCUCGCAUG